RNAcentral lists this ribosomal RNA (870 nucleotides) under Gomphus graslinii (pronged clubtail). RNAcentral's name for it is "partial large subunit ribosomal RNA". The record is from RNAcentral. Lineage: Eukaryota; Metazoa; Arthropoda; Insecta; Odonata; Gomphidae.
AUGUAAGAAUUUAAAGGUCGAACAGACCUAUACAUUAAGCGGCUACACCUAAUUAUUUUCUUAAUCCAACAUCGAGGUCGCAAGCCUUCCCGUAAAUAUGAACUCUGGAGGAAGAUUACGCUGUUAUCCCUAAGGUAACUUAAUCUAACAAUCAAUAAUAAUGGAUCUAGUAUUCAUAAAUCAAUGUUACUUAAAUAAAAAAGUUAUUUAUAUAUUUUUGUCACCCCAACAAAAUAAUUAAAAUAAUAAUAAAAAAUGAUAAACAAAAAAUAAUUAAAAUCAUAAUUAUAAAGCUCUAUAGGGUCUUCUCGUCUUCCAAUAUAAUUUCAGCCUUUUAACUGAAAAGUUAAAUUUUAAAUACAAAUUAAAUGAGACAGUUAACACCUCGUCAAACCCUUCAUACCAGCCCCCUAUUAAAAGACUAAUGAUUAUGCUACCUUUGCACAGUCAAAAUACUGCGGCCGUUAAAAUAAAAUUUCACUGGGCAGGUCAGACCUCAUAUACAAACAAGAGGACAUGUUUUUGAUAAACAGGCGAGCGUUAAAUUUGCCGAAUUCCUUAUUUAAUUAUAUCAAAAAAUAGAUGAUAUACAAUAAAGUUAUACUAAUUCAAUCAUUAUUAUAAAUUUUAUAUAAUUAAAAAUAUCAUUUUAAUAAAAUACUAAAAUAAAGAAAAUCACAUUAUUAUUUAUUUGAACUACAACGAACUCUUUAAUGAUAGCUAAUUUAAAGCUUACAAAAAUUAAAUAAAACAGAAUUUUUAGAAUAAUAUUAGAGCUUAUCCCCUAAUAUCUCAAUCUUAGUUAAUAAAUAAUUAAUAAAUAAAUUAUUUAACAGCUAAGACUAAAUUAAAUUUAUUUCUUAAAAAACU